Molecule: long non-coding RNA, 2603 nt
Filed under: Rhinopithecus bieti (black snub-nosed monkey)
Lineage: Eukaryota; Metazoa; Chordata; Mammalia; Primates; Cercopithecidae
Description: lncRNA (ENSRBIG00000046037.1)
Source: RNAcentral
CCUGGGUGCACCACACUGCGGGAGCCUCCAAGUGUUCACCUAUCCAGAAGCUCCUCUGAAGGCUCUCCUUUUGGGUUGUUAUGGAGCCUUCAUUACAUAUGCAUGAUUGCUUAUAUUACUGGUCAUUGGUUACACUUUUAGAUAGGCUAAGUGGGUUUUUUGUUUGUUUGUUUGUUUUUGGUGAGACGAAGUCUCACUCUGUCACCCAGGCUGGAGUGCAAUGGCGCGAUCUCGGCUCAUUGCAACCUCCGCCUCCCGGGUUCAGGCCCCGCCCCUGCCCCGCCCAUCCUAUGCUCUCAGUCACUCCCGGCCUUUCCGCCCGCAACCCGCCCCUUUGCCCCGGUCCGCCCAGGCCCCGCCCCCAGCCGCCGGCGCCGUUUACUGCGCGGGCAGUUUCUUGCAAACCCGGAAGCAGAUCUCUUGGAGUGAAGGCUGUUCCUCGCCGCGUAGAACCCUGGAAGAAGAGGAAGAGGAAAGCAGCAAAGGAGUCAGAUGGCUCUUCCGCAGUUAGGUGACCUCGUGUCAAUUUACUUUUGGUGCUGUUUAGGCAGAACAACUCAAACACCAUGUUUCCCUCUGCUCUCCCACCAACACCACAAUCCACACAGAAGACUUCUGUGGCCACAUGCGAGGGAUUUCUCCCCACCAACAAACAGCGAGCAACCAGUUCAGUUCCAACACUGUCUGCAUGAAGAUAGUGUCAGAUCUCACAGAUUGAUGGCUCAGUUCCCAGUUGCACGUCCAGGCCUCUGAAACUUCUGACCGACCAACCUCAAGUCGAGGUUCCCAUGAACCCUUCUUUAAUUUGCUGGAGCAACUCUUACAGGUCAGAGAAACACUGAGUUUUACAGGUUGAUUAUAAAUACUAUUACAGAAGAUACCAGUGAAGAGAUGCAGAAGGUGAGGUAUGGGGAAAGGGGUGCGGAGCUUCCCUGCCCUCCCUGGGUAUGCCGUCCUCCAGGAACCUCCACGUGUCAGCCAUUUGGAAGCUCCCUGAACCCACUGCACUCCAGCCUGGGUGACAAAGCAAAACUCCAUCUCCAAAAAAACAACAAAAAGAAAUUUACAUAUUUCUACAAAAGUCAUAGCCACUUUUAUCUUUAUUUUCUCUUUUGAUUCUACCCAAAUUUCCAGUGACAAAGUCCCGAAUUCAGUGCUGAAAUUAGGCUUUGACAUGUGCUUUCUUCUAUAAGUGUGACAUUGUAAUAAAAGAAGUGAUUUGUUGUCCUUGAUAAUCUCAUUUGGCUCCUGUGUAGUUCUUUGAGAUAAUUCCCUUGCCAGCUGGUUGUUUUACAAAUGUGUGCAAACUAUAUCAUACUACUUUAUGCAAACUAUAUUAUACUACUUUAUGCAAACUAUAUUAUACUACUUUAUGCAAAGAGACAGACACUACUUUUUACUAUAUCUUUCUAGGACUUUUUAUUCUGUUUUCAGUUUAAAUUUGCUUACCCCUGAGAUUUUAAAGUCUCUUUCUUCAUAAAACACUAUUUGAACUGGAAUAUAUUAACACAUUCUGUGGCCAGUUUUGCUCGACAUCAUUUUACCCUUCAUUCUCCGACAUUCUCUUAUUUCUUGUACUUCUUUAUUUAUUUGCAUUUGUUUAUUUUUCCUUUUAUUAUUACUUUUACUUUUUUGUAGAAACAAAGUCUUGCUAUGUUGCCCAGGCUGGUCUCAAACUCCUGGGUUCAAACAAUCUGCCUGCCUUGGCCCCCCAAAGUGCUGGGACUACAGGCAUGAACCACCAUGCCCGGCCAACUUCUUUAGUUUUUAAACCUCAUUUUCAGAGUAGUUGAGAGGAUUUCAGCCACAGUGUAGCAUCUUAAAGACUGGGAAAAUUCUUUCCUAACCAGUUUAAUGACCAAGAAACUAUUCAGACCAAUCUACAUGUCAGUCAUUCACAGUAGAAUGGUAAACCAAAGAGCUGUGGGCAGCUGCUGAUACAUGUUGCACAAAAGGAUGUUGGGAAUCUCUUAGACAUUGGUACACGUUGUUACAUCAAUGAAUUCUUCCAAAAGGACCUCCCUUUCAGGACCUUGGACAGAUACACGGACUCCUUUGUGCUGAUCUCAAGACACUGAGAUUCUAAAACGAAAACUCUGAAGGCGCUUGACUAUAUAGCCUUCCUUAAUGCUUUAGCAUUCCAAACCGCCUACUUACUCUCUUUGGAAGAUUAUUCAGGGCUUUGUGAGCUGCUCUUUCAGGUAGCUUGCCUGUUGCUUAACUGAUUGCUUAGGUUUAAUUUUAAUUCCUAGACACCUGGGUACCGGUACUUGCUCUGUCAUUUUUAGCUCUUUGACCUGAGACAAGUUUCUCAGCAUGUCUGUGAAACAGCUGUCCCCACAGUAAAAUGGGAGCAGAUCUUUCUCUCCUGGGCUACAGUGUUGUACGUAUUUGUAUACAUAAAGGAUUUCAAAUGCUACCUCGCAUACGGACCUUGUUCUUAAAUCCCUAGCAUUGCUAUUGCUCUCAUCAUAGUUUUAAGGCUCCGACUUGUUUUUUCUUCAAAGCCACUGUGGAUGUUGUCACCCUUGAAGACACCACUCAUUCUCUAGGUCAUCUAGAUGCUGAAUAUUACUUGAUGUAUCAGACAUAAUAUCUAUCCA